Long non-coding RNA from Gallus gallus (chicken), 2524 nucleotides. NCBI's taxonomy places the organism in Eukaryota, Metazoa, Chordata, Aves, Galliformes, Phasianidae. The record is from Ensembl.
GGUUGAUCCUUCACCACAACUUAUCUCUCACCACGACAGACUUGAGGGGUUCUCUGCCAUCUGAUCCUUCACCGCAACGUGGACACUGAUCUCUCACCGCAACACAGAGGCUGAUCUCUCAUGAUCUCUCACCACGACACGAGCUUCCUGCCUUCAGAUCCUUCUCUACGGACCGUUUGCUGACGGACUUCCCUGGGCCUGCUACCUGAGACCUGCUGCUUCCUCCCUGACCUGCACCCUCUUGUUGCCCAAGACCGGCCUCGCUGCUCCUGCCCUUCGGCCUCGGACCGUCGGAACGUCGUGCAACGGGACUGCUGCUGGAUCCUGGUGGGUUUCUGUACAGAGGAUAACUUCACCCUCAAAACUGUUUGGAAAAUGAAGACACAGAAGAAUGCAGCAGAGUCCAGAGGAGUUGAGCAUGGGGUCAGACGGUUGGGAAUGGAAACUGAUGAAAGAACUGUGAAUGGAAGUAAUUGAGUGGACAAUCACCAAGAUUCCUGCAUAUCUUAUUUAAAUAUAUUGACGGUAUUGAGUUUGAAGCUGGAGUUACUCUCAUUACUUGAGUUCCUGCAUUCUAUCUAUACAGUUUGAUGUAUCUAUACUUUCACUUCUACUAUUCUCUACAGCUUUCUUAAUGUGUAUGUCAGUCCAUAGGUAUUUUUUGCCUUGCACAAAGGGCUAAAAUGCUUUGUAAUAUCACAUUGCUUAUCCAGUUUGAGUUUGGUCUAACUCUACUGAAGUCAGUGAUUUUACACAGGUAUGGCCUUUGCUCCUCAUCAAUGUCCAACCAUGAAAACUGCUUUAACCUAUAUUCCUCAUUUUGAUCAUCCUGAGAUGGAAAACUUUGCCCCACAAAGUUGCCCCACAACUUUGCUGAACAAGUAACAGCGACAUCACUGCUAAUAGCUGUUCUCAAUGAAUUUUUAAAAUGUCAGUCAGCUGAGUUCUUGAGCUGUAAGUUAUUCUUUCAGGACUUACUUUUUACAGAUAAUGCAUUCUGUAACUGCUUGUUAUGGACAAAUAAUGUGAGCUUCUGACUUCCCAAUGUUAUGUUCAAAAUGUCUUUUUGUUUGCUCAGAUGUAUUCGCAGAGGAAAGGAACUGCAAACUUAGAAAUAUCAAUUACAGGUUUUUACUUUGCACCACACUAGCAGUUUCUUAUUCUGUAGAAGCAGUUUCUCUAUAAUUACUAAGAUAGCCUUUUCCGAAAUGCAACUCAAAUAAUGGCAGGAAAAACUGCCAUAUUUACUGCAUGUUAGUGAUUCACACAUAAGCUCAAACUGCAAAGUAAAGAAAAGUUAUUCAACUUCCAAGACCAGAAAUUCUUUUCAGAAACUGGAAAUUCAUGUCAUUUUAAGCACACUGCCUACACUACUAGCAUUCUACCUGCAUCUUUAGCCACAUAUAUCCUCAUGACAUUUUGGAACUACUAUUUUUUGGGCAUGUAUUUCUAACUAUUCAAAGCUACAACUUCAUCUCUAGUAACAUAUUUGGGCUAGCUAGUCUAUAUCAAUAACACAAAAAGUUGCAAAGGUAUCUCAGCAUCUGGUCAGUGUGAUCUGAGCAUCAGGCUGUUGUGCAUACUUAUAUUUGGAGUACUUUGACACUAAUACAUAUAUACUACCCAAAAGCUGAAUCACACAUCUAGGUUGUUUUAGGGACAUCAUUUUAGAAUACUUCCUGGAUCUGUACACAGAACUAACUGAUAAAGGAUCUUUCUCAGAACCUUUCCUACAUGUUUUAGGGUAAUGUUAAGAACUCCCAAUAGAUAUGAUCCAAAGUAUAUUUAUAUAUAUAUAUGUUCUUGUUAUGUUUGUACUUCAUUUCAACACACACAGAAUUUAGGCUAUUUACUUUUGGGUCACUUAUCAUGAACUUAAGAGAAAGGUGGGGUCUCCUCUCCUUGAAGAGUAGAAAUAAUUUUAUUGUUCUUAUGGUCACAAGGUAUUUUCCAAAGAAGUUGGUAAAGAAUUAUAUUAUAUAAAAAUGGAUCUUCUUGUUUCUUGUGAUAUUUCUGGUUCUAAUUAUGAAACUACUUCAUAACAAACAAUAGCAAAGUUAUUAGAGAAGUUUGGACGAGCACUGAGAUAUCAGGGUUACUUUUAUUUUCUCAAUAAUAGCGAGGUUAACUUUAACACAAUUGUACUUAGUUUAUCAAGUUCUCAUGGAACCUCUGAUCUUCUAAGGAAUGGAAUACAAACCACAGCCUUUUUGCUGCUCAGUUUUCACUGAAAUGAAAUCAAUCAGAAGCUACAUUCUGAAAGAGAGGAGCAGUUUAUAUUGACCUCUAAGUUGCUUAAGAAAUCUCUGUGCACUAUCAAAGGUUGUCACAAAACUGACAUUGAUAAAGAGUUCAGUGCUAGUUCCAACAUGUACUAUCCCUUCAACUGCAUAUAUUUGUACAUAUUUUACAGUUAUAUAUAUAAUAUUGCAUAUAUUUUACAGUUUUGCCUGUAUUGCAACAUGCAAGUAUGGUGAAGUUUGUAAUGAAAAUAUAUGCUUUCUGGUAUACAGAAUAAAUUCCC